AUGUAGACAUAGGCGUGCCUGUCUAUAUAUAUAUCACUGGCAGUAGAUCUGCCAAUGGCUCAUUAGGACCGUUAUACUUUAUUUGAUAUCACAUAUGGAUACCUGUACAAAAACUUUAGCUAAUACAUGCCGUAACCGUCCGGUUGUAUUUAUUAUGUAUUCCUGGGAGGUGAUUCAUAAUAACUUAGCGAAUCGUGACUUGUUCACGAUAAAUCAUUCAAGUUUCUGCCCUAUCAUGCUUUCCAUGGUGGUGUAUUGGACUACCAUGGCUCUCACGGGUAACCGAGAAUUAUGGGUCGAUUACGGACAACGAGCCUGAUAAACUUCUACUACAUCUAACGAAGGCUCCAUGCGCGUAAAUUACCCCCUCCUGACUCAGGGAGGUGGCUUUAGAUAUAACAACGUGAAGUCAAAUUCCCGAUUGUAGUGAGGAUAUUCCGAACCGAAGUUCCACUACCAUUGGAGGACAAGUCUUGGUGACGGCACCCGCGGUGAUUCCU
Molecule: ribosomal RNA, 500 nt
Filed under: uncultured eukaryote
Lineage: Eukaryota
Description: SSU rRNA
Rfam family: Eukaryotic small subunit ribosomal RNA
Source: RNAcentral